Molecule: ribosomal RNA, 253 nt
Filed under: uncultured bacterium
Lineage: Bacteria
Description: partial 16S ribosomal RNA
Rfam family: Bacterial small subunit ribosomal RNA
Source: RNAcentral
UACGUAGGUGGCGAGCGUUGUCCGGAUUUACUGGGCGUAAAGGGCGUGCAGGCGGUUUGUUAAGUGCAGGGUGAAAGCUCCCGGCUCAACUGGGAGAGGUCCUUGCAUACUGGCGAACUCGAGGGAGGCAGAGGAAAGUGGAAUUCCCGGUGUAGUGGUGAUAUGCGUAGAUAUCGGGAGGAACACCAGUGGCGAAGGCGGCUCUCUGGACCGACACUGACGCUGAGGCGCGAAAGCGUGGGGAGCAAACAGG